UGGUAUCCUUAGGGAAGGGAACCCGGUGAACUGAAACAUCUAAGUAGCCGGAGGAAGAGAAAUCAAACGAGAUGCCCACAGUAGCGGCGAGCGAAGAGGGCAGAGCCUAAACCGGGAAGCUUCGGCUUUCCGGGGUUACGGACUCACAUAAUUCAAGUUUAUCCUAGCCGAAUUACCUGGAAAGGUAAGCCACAGAGCAUAAAAGCUGCGUAGGUUAAAGGACGAGCGAGAAGGUGAGUAUCCAGAGUACCACGAAGCACGAGGAAUUUUGUGGGAAGUCGGGGGGACCACCCUCCAAGGCUAAAUACUACUUAGUGACCGAUAGCGCAUAGUACCGUGAGGGAAAGGUGAAAAGAACCGCGGGAGCGGAGUGAAAGAGAACCUGAAACCGUAUGUCUACAAGCAGUCGGAGCGCAAGCGACGGCGUGCCUAUUGAAGAAUGAGCCAACGAGUUGCGGGCACUAGCGAGGUUAAGCAGGAAAUGCGGAGCCGUAGGGAAACCGAGUCUGAAAAGGGCGAUGAGUUAGUGUUCGCAGACCCGAAACUGUAGUGAUCUACCCAUGAUCAGGUUGAAGCACAGGUAAAAUUGUGUGGAGGACCGAACCGGUGAGUGUUGAAAAACUUUCGGAUGAAUCGUGGGUAGCGGUGAAAUUCCAAUCGAACGCAGAGAUAGCUGGUUCUCCUCGAAAUAGCUUUAGGGCUAGCCUCAAGCAGUAAGCAUAGGCGGUAGAGCACUGAUCGGGAUAGGGACUGUAAUGGUUACCGAACCCUGUCAAACUACGAAUGGUUAUGCUGCAGAGCUUGGGAGUCAGACUACGAGAGAUAAGUCCCGUUGUCAAAAGGGAAACAGCCCAGACCAUCAGCUAAGGUCCCCAAUGCCAUACUAAGUGGAAAAGGAUGUGGGGUCUCAUAAACAACCAGGAUGUUGGCUCAGAAGCAGCCACCAUUUAAAGAGUGCGUAAUAGCUCACUGGUCGAGAGGCCCUGCGCCGAAGAUUCCCGGGGCUAAAGUAUGGAACCGAAGCUAUGGAUGCAAGCUUAGGCUUGCGUGGUAGAGGAGCGUUCCCAUCGGGUUGAAGUCGUACUGUAAGGUACGGUGGACUGGUGGGAAGUGAGAAUGUUGGCAUGAGUAGCGAAAAGAAAGGUGAGAAUCCUUUCCACCGAAAGCAUAAGGAUUCCUGAGCAACGAUCGUCGUCUCAGGGUAAGUCGGGACCUAAUCCGAGGCAGAGAGCGUAGGAGAUGGACAACUGGUUGAUAUUCCAGUACCGGUAGUAAUUGUUUGAGCAAUGGAGUGACACAGAAGGGCAGGCAAGCAUGCGAAUGGAAGAGCAUGUGUAAGCGUGUAGGGUGGUGCAUAGGCAAAUCCGUGCACUGAAAGCCUGAGGCGUGAUGCGGAGUGAGCAGAGAUGCGAGCGAAGUUGUUGACCCCACACUGUCGAGAAAAGCUUCUAGUGAGAGAGCUACCGCCCGUACCGUAAACCGACACAGGUAUGCGGGGAGAGAAUCCUAAGGUGCGCGGGAGAACCCUCGUUAAGGAACUCGGCAAAAUGUACCCGUAACUUCGGGAUAAGGGUAGCCACUGUUGUGAAGUCCCAUGCGGAUGGAGCAUAGAGUGGUCGCAGAGAAGAGGCCCAAGCGACUGUUUACCAUAAACACAGGUGCCUGCUAAAGCGAAAGCUGACGUAUAGGUGCUGACACCUGCCCAGUGCCGGAAGGUUAAGGAAGGAUGUUCGGAUUAGUCCAAAGCAUUCGACUGAAGCCCCGGUGAACGGCGGCCGUAACUAUAACGGUCCUAAGGUAGCGAAAUUCCUUGUCGGGUAAGUUCCGACCCGCACGAAAGGUGU
This 1844-nucleotide ribosomal RNA is filed under the name human gut metagenome. Its description in RNAcentral is "bacterial LSU rRNA". It matches the Rfam family "Bacterial large subunit ribosomal RNA", at positions 146 to 2002 of the family's 2925-position model. The record is from RNAcentral.